This 271-nucleotide unclassified non-coding RNA is filed under the name Homo sapiens (human). Its description in RNAcentral is "EPCIP antisense RNA 1 (ENSG00000263140.5)". Lineage: Eukaryota; Metazoa; Chordata; Mammalia; Primates; Hominidae. The record is from RNAcentral.
GCACUUACGCGGAGCGGUAAUGUGAGGAAGCCUCCCGCCAAACAGAUGAGGGAGGAGGAGGAGGGGAGAGGCCAGAGAGAGAAGCGGCUUUCGGGAAGGAAAGUGUGAUCUAGUAGGUGGAAUAGUCCUCUCCAAACUUUGACCUGAGAAUGACCCUCUAUUUGGAUUUGGAUUACACAAAGUUUAACGUUUUUUGGAAAAAUCCUACCUAGGUAAUGUGUAGUUCUCAAUGCAUCAUGUCAGGCAGCUUAUGAUGCCAAUUUGUCCCAUG